UUCCAGACUCCUACGGGAGGCAGCAGUGGGGAAUAUUGCACAAUGGGGGAAACCCUGAUGCAGCGACGCCGCGUGAGUGAAGAAGUAUUUCGGUAUGUAAAGCUCUCUCAGCAGGGAAGAUAAUGACGGUACCUGAGUAAGAAGCCCCGGCUAACUACGUGCCAGCAGCCGCGGUAAUACGUAGGGGGCAAGCGUUAUCCGGAUUUACUGGGUGUAAAGGGAGCGUAGACGGCAUGGCAAGUCUGAAGUGAAAGCCCGGGGCUCAACCGCGGGACUGCUUUGGAAACUGUUAAGCUGGAGUGCAGGAGAGGUAAGUGGAAUUCCUAGUGUAGCGGUGAAAUGCGUAGAUAUUAGGAGGAACACCAGUGGCGAAGGCGGCUUACUGGACUGUAACUGACGUUGAGGCUCGAAAGCGUGGGGAGCAAACAGGAUUAGAUACCCGAGUA
RNAcentral lists this ribosomal RNA (446 nucleotides) under uncultured bacterium. RNAcentral's name for it is "bacterial SSU rRNA". It matches the Rfam family "Bacterial small subunit ribosomal RNA", at positions 329 to 792 of the family's 1533-position model. The record is from RNAcentral.